CUCGUGCGAACGGUUACUAAAGGGCCUGGCCAGGGUGGGCGGUUUCAGUCAGUGUGCUUCCCCUAACAGAAGGGCCUCGUCCUCUAAGAAAACCCACAGAAGCGAAGACAAAAGGGUCUUACACUCACAGAAAGGAAAGGUGUGGGCUGAGGACCAGGACUCUACCUGGUUCCUGCAGGAGGAGAGAGGGUAAGACCAAGGAGUCUUUUCCAGGACAAUUGGGUCUAAAGCCCAAGGAAGAAAGCUGGUCAGAUGUUAAACCUGAAGGAAAGAAGGCAGCAGGGUGGCAUCAAGACAAACCAGUCUAACCUGAAAGCCAGUGAGGAAUGGGACUAUUUCCUGCCACUUCAGUAAACAGACAUCAGUGACUUCAGCCCUCCAUGAGGGAGUGGUUGUGAAUACUUUUUAAGUCGACACAAGCAAAGAGAAAACGGCAGAGAGAGCUGCAAAUUUCCACCUGCCAAAGACUUAAUGAAUUACAUUUCCAUUACAUUUCCAGAUGGGGCUAAGUGCAAAUUGUAGCAGAUGAGGACAUUGGGGCAGAAAAGAUGAAGUAGUUCACCUAAGGACACACAGCAGGGAGAAUGUUGAAAAAUGUGUGUAUUUUUGAUGGAAACAGUGACAAUGCCAGUCACAGCUGAGGGUGCUUUGCUGGAAGGAUCUGAAAUGACUGCAUAAACCCACAACGGAGGCCAAGACAGCCCACGUCUGAAGCCUUGCCCAUUCUGAUUCUUUGCAUCGUCAGCUCCCAACACUGUCAGUUUCCAUGGAGCCAUGGGGACGAGAGGACUUGAGGCAAGUUCAGCUAGCGGAGCUCUGGGUCUGUCGGGAG
This is a non-coding RNA of Odocoileus virginianus texanus, 832 nucleotides long. Lineage: Eukaryota; Metazoa; Chordata; Mammalia; Artiodactyla; Cervidae. The record is from RefSeq and is a predicted model, not a curated record.